AUAUUUUGUAAGGUUGUUCUAGUUUUGUAACUAAAAUGGUUUGGCAGUGAGUGAUUCUUGUUAGGGGAAGAUGCAUAGUAAAGGAUGGUCCACCUAUUAAUUUACUCUUUUUAUGUUGGUGUAUGUCUGGUUUGAUAUUAUUGUUUAGUAAUGUAAGUUUGUGUAGUUUUAGUUAAGCUAAGUCUAUGUGCUGCUUAUAAGAGUUUUUGUGUGUUACAUUGAUAGGAAUAUUGUUGUAAUAU
This 242-nucleotide ribosomal RNA is filed under the name Echinococcus multilocularis. RNAcentral describes it as "partial 12S ribosomal RNA". Lineage: Eukaryota; Metazoa; Platyhelminthes; Cestoda; Cyclophyllidea; Taeniidae. The record is from RNAcentral.